Non-coding RNA from Corylus avellana, 953 nucleotides. Lineage: Eukaryota; Viridiplantae; Streptophyta; Magnoliopsida; Fagales; Betulaceae. The record is from RefSeq and is a predicted model, not a curated record.
UAAGCAAAUCCAAAACGACAUUGAAAGAGAGGAAACGCUGGCAGUGGUAGGCGCACCCAAAGCAGGUUCGUCUAUAUUUCCGAAACUACUCCAUAUAAAUACAAAUGCAGCCAUCGACCGAAGCCAACAAAUUCAAAGCCAAUUCAAAAUCGGUCACAAAUUACAAAUAAUACACGACUCUCUCUCUACAAUCUCAAGCUUGAGAACUGAAAGUAACAGAAUAAUGGGAAUUCCAUCGGAAAUGAGGGACUUGUGGGUGAAGAAAAGAAAGGGCUUCGUGAUUGCUUCUCCUCUUGAAGAUCAGAAGAUCCUGAACGCCAGAAAUUGCACUCGAGAAGGUGUUCGUGCCGGAUUCAAGUCAGCUUCGAUUGCAUGCGUUGCCAGCGCUAUACCAACAGUAUGUGAUAGUCAUUAUUUUACUCUCAUUUGGGACUAAUUAAAAAUAUUGUGCUGGACUUUUUCUUCGUUGUUAAUUUAUUAUCUUUCCUGUUUUUGGAGGUCAUAUUUGUUGAAAACGAGGUUAUAGGCACACCUGUAUCAUUUGGGACAAAUGAAUCAAAGAUUUUAGUAUGUAGUAGAUGAUCAUCAACAGAGGUUUUAUUUGGCAAGGGCUUAACGGUUUUCAUUUUCUUUCUUAUACAUGAGCUGGUCAAAAUUUGUAAUACAAUAUCCUGCCAGCAUGUCUUCUUCAAAGGCAAACCCACCUUGUCAGUUGGGUAUUUACUUCAUUUGUGGUAACCUGAAGAACCAAUUUGGCUUGAAUUGAGAUAUUAACAGGCUUCAGGAUAUUAAGCAUGCUGUCUUAGUUGAGUUAGUUGGAGAUCUUAUUGACUGACACUAACUGCCUGCUGCAAAAACUAAAAGGGACUUGAUGGGGUAUGUGAGUGUCUUAGUUGCUAAGCAAUGAGACUUCAUAAGGUUCAACCAUUAGAAAAUAUAAAGAAAGAAAGAGG